This 492-nucleotide ribosomal RNA is filed under the name uncultured bacterium. RNAcentral's name for it is "partial 16S ribosomal RNA". It matches the Rfam family "Bacterial small subunit ribosomal RNA", at positions 29 to 507 of the family's 1533-position model. The record is from RNAcentral.
AGUGAACGCUGGCGGUAGGCCUAACACAUGCAAGUCGAACGGCAGCACAGUAAGAGCUUGCUCUUACGGGUGGCGAGUGGCGGACGGGUGAGGAAUACAUCGGAAUCUACUUUUUCGUGGGGGAUAACGUAGGGAAACUUACGCUAAUACCGCAUACGACCUACGGGUGAAAGCAGGGGAUCUUCGGACCUUGCGCGAUUGAAUGAGCCGAUGUCGGAUUAGCUAGUUGGCGGGGUAAAGACCCACCAAGGCGACGAUCCGUAGCUGGUCAGAGUGGAUGGUCAGCCACACUGGAACUGAGACACGGUCCAGACUCCUACGGGAGGCAGCAGUGGGGAAUAUUGGACAAUGGGCGCAAGCCUGAUCCAGCCAUACCGCGUGGGUGAAGAAGGCCUUCGGGUUGUAAAGCCCUUUUGUUGGGAAAGAAAAGCAGCAGGUUAAUACCCCGCUGUUCUGACGGUACCCAAAGAAUAAGCACCGGCUAACUUCGUG